Molecule: ribosomal RNA, 120 nt
Filed under: Helianthus annuus (common sunflower)
Lineage: Eukaryota; Viridiplantae; Streptophyta; Magnoliopsida; Asterales; Asteraceae
Source: RNAcentral
GGUUGCGAUCAUACCAGCACCAAUGCACCGGAUCCCAUCAGAACUCCGCAGUUAAGCGUGCUUGGGCGAGAGUAGUACUAGGAUGGGUGACCCCCUGGGAAGUCCUCGUGUUGCAACCCC